UUUUCGCACUCUGGAGAGCGGCAGUAGCGCAGAUGCACGAAUGCAUGCGCAGGCUGCCCACCGAAGGGGCGCGCGCCUCGUCCGCCAGCACUCGCUGACGGCAGCGCAAUCUCUCAGGUAUCGAGGACAGAGGGGGCAUG
Molecule: non-coding RNA, 140 nt
Filed under: Paraburkholderia sabiae
Lineage: Bacteria; Pseudomonadati; Pseudomonadota; Betaproteobacteria; Burkholderiales; Burkholderiaceae
Description: Glycine
Rfam family: Glycine riboswitch aptamer
About the family: This family represents the bacterial glycine riboswitch. Glycine riboswitches usually consist of two metabolite-binding aptamers domains with similar structures in tandem.
Source: RNAcentral